Molecule: transfer RNA, 77 nt
Filed under: Bacteroidota bacterium
Lineage: Bacteria; Pseudomonadati; Bacteroidota
Description: Bacteroidetes bacterium tRNA-Ala
Rfam family: tRNA
About the family: Transfer RNA (tRNA) molecules are approximately 80 nucleotides in length. Their secondary structure includes four short double-helical elements and three loops (D, anti-codon, and T loops).
Source: RNAcentral
GGGGAAUUAGCUCAUCUGGCUAGAGCGUCUGACUGGCAGUCAGGAGGUGGUCGGUUCAAGUCCGAUAUUCUCCACCA